This 927-nucleotide ribosomal RNA is filed under the name uncultured archaeon. Its description in RNAcentral is "bacterial SSU rRNA". It matches the Rfam family "Archaeal small subunit ribosomal RNA", at positions 1 to 908 of the family's 1478-position model. The record is from RNAcentral.
UUCCGGUUGAUCCUGCCGGACCUUACUGCUAUCGGGGUGGGACUAAGACAUGCGAGUCGAGCGUCUCUAGCUAUGUUGAGACGCGGCAGACGGCUCAGUAACACGUGGCUAACCUACCCUCAGGACGAGGACAAACCCGGGAAACUGGGGCUAAUACUCGAUAGGUGAGUAUGUCUGGAAUGAUUUCUCACUCAAAGGGCUUUAGAAACAUGCUUCUAAAGUCGCCUGGGGAUGGGGCCGCGUCCGAUCAGGUUGUUGGUGAGGUAAUGGCUCACCAAGCCUAUAACCGGUACGGGCCGUGAGAGCGGUAGCCCGGAGAUGGGUACUGAGACAAGGACCCAGGCCCCACGGGGCGCAGCAGUCGCGAAAACUCCGCAAUGCACGAAAGUGUGACGGGGCUACCCCGAGUGCCAUCCGCUGAGGAUGGCUUUUCCUUGGUAUAACUAGCCGAGGGAAUAAGGAGAGGGCAAGACUGGUGUCAGCCGCCGCGGUAAUACCAGCUCUCCGAGUGGUAGGGAUGAUUAUUGGGCUUAAAGCGUCCGUAGCCGGCUUAGCAAGUCUCCUGUUAAAUUCAGCGACCUAAUCGUUGAGCCGCGGGAGAUACUACUAGGCUAGGAGGCGGGAGAGGUCGACGGUACUUCUGGGGUAGGGGUGAAAUCCUAUAAUCCCGGGAGGACCACCAGUGGCGAAGGCUGUCGACUAGAACGCGCUCGACGGUGAGGGACGAAAGCUGGGGGGAGCGAACCGGAUUAGAUACCCGGGUAGUCCCAGCCGUAAACGAUGCGGGCUAGGUGUUGGGGUGGCUACGUGCCACUUCAGUGCCGCAGGGAAGCCAUUAAGCCCGCCGCCUGGAGAGUACGGCCGCAAGGCUGAAACUUAAAGGAUUUGGCGGGGGAGCACCACAGGCGUGAAGCUUGCGUUCAAUUG